ACCUCCAUACCUUGGAGGGUGUUUUUGGACAUCCUUUGGGAUUUCGGGUUAGGCAGCCACGAAAGAGUUCUCUUUGAGCUCCCUCUCCACCUCUAAAGUCGCUUGGAAGAUGCCCUCUAUGGUGUUGAAUUUGUGAAAUGUCAUGCGAGUAGAGAUGUCCUUGUUUAACCCAACCUUGAAUCAGAUGAUGUCAUUGCUCACUUGCUCUCCUGUAUGAUUAAGUUUCAAGAUGAGUUAUUGAAAUUCGUCAUAGUAGGCUGCCACAUUUUUAUUUUCUUGCUUCAAGUUGUGCAAUUUUGCAAGGAGUUCAUGUUGAUAGCUUUCGGGAAGGUACCUUUGCCUCAUAAUAUACCUUAAUCAAAACCAAGGAGGGGGUUACCCCUCAAUCAAUACAUUGCCAAAACGUUUGACAUGCUCCCACCACGUGGUAGCAUAUCCCUCAAAAUGGGCAAUGGCGUAGCAACUAUUCUUCUCCUCCGUGAGAUCAUUUACUUGAAAGAAUCUCUUGCAUGCGGAUUCCCAUUCAAGAAACUCUUCGAGAUCACUUUCUCCCUUAAAGAUCGGAAGCCCCAUUUUUAUGGUGUUGAGGCCAACAUCCCUUUCCCGAACACCUUGGACGCCCCUACCUUCAAUCCCCUGGUUAUUCCUAGGUUCUACCCUUCUACCUCUCAUCCCAUAUUCCUUCAAAUAAGGAUCAUCAUACAUUUCAUACCCUCCCCUUCGGUUCCCCUUCACAAAUUCCUCUUCUUGCAUUGGUGGUUUUUGGAUAUUUGGAAUUUGGUAUGGGGGAUUGGCAUUUAGUGGUGGAGGUCUUUAGAUUGGCUGAUUUUGGUUUGGAGGAGUCGAAUUUAGGGGUGGAAUUUGGGUUCCAAAUCCGUCAUGUGGGGCUUGGUGAUAUGUAGAAUGGCUAGGUACAUCAAGGCCUUAGCCUUGUGAAUAAUAGUGUGCUUGAGGUAUGGAAUUUGACAGGUACAUUCUUUGGUGUGUGGCUUUGAAGGUAAUGGUUGGGUAUGUGUUUUGGGGAGUUAAGGGAUAAGAACUCCAUUGACUUUUUACCCUUUCCAUUCGGCCACUAAUAGAGGUCACUUCCACUCCCAACUUCUCAACCGUAGCAUUCACUCUAGCCACGCCCCGAGACAAGGACUCAAGACUAGCUACAAGGGCAUUCAUAACAUUAUGAUCCACGGUUUGUGCAUUGGAAGUUUCAGGUUCCAUGUGUGGUGGUUCCAUUUGCAAAUGUACCUUACAAGUGUGCAAGCUUGAUGGAGUCCCAUACUUGAGAGGUGAACCAAGACUCUACAACGACUCAAGGAAACAAUAAAAAAAACACACGAAGGAUAGUAAACACAAAGAAUGGUUACAAAACUAACUUACAAACUAGUAGGAUAUUACUAGGUUGUCGAUUAGUGUCGAGUCAACAAACGAAACUAUGAAAUAAUAAUAGGAAACUAAGAAAAAUCUAAAAUUUGAACUCAAAAAUGUUGCGUGAAUAGUACUUUAGUGACGUGGUAGUCCACUAUUGGCCUCGAGUUUUAUCAAAAUUUUAUUUCCCAAUUUCAAGUCUUGAUCAAUAUACAAUUUGGAAUUGGUGGAUUUGGUUAAUGGGGGGAAAAGUGGUCUUGGAGCCUUUUUGUUCAAAUUUCAAAAGCAAAACUUGACUUCUUUGAACUUUCUCCUUGAAACAAGGUUCUUAAAUCAAGGAAAAGUAGAUGAAAAGUCUUUUAAGUGAUAGGGACAAGUCUUUCACUAACAACUACUACAAGCUUGUCUUUCACCUUUUUAGAUCUAGAUUGCACUUUAAGGAUUAACAAGAUGAUGAAAGGGUGAAGAACCUUAAGAACACAACAACAACUCCAAGAACAACAACAAUUUCAGUUUCCAACUCCACUAUAACAAGACUAUCAAAUCGGCCAAGGUGUAGGUAACAAUAACAUCCAACUCAGCCACACCUUGUUCACAUCAACAACUUCAACAAGUUCAAGUUCAAUCAUAGAUUUGGACACCUUUUAGUGUUGAUGAGAAAGAAACCAACACUAGAAACACUCUAAAAAAACAAAAGACUACAAGUUCUAGACACACAACAAACAAAUUUUGGCCAAGAUAACAACAACAGGAUUUUUGGCCAAGAACACAAAAUGGACAGAUUUGUACUUUUUUGGAAUUUUUUUGCAGUUUUCAGUUUUUUUUUUUUUAAAUUUUCAUCCAAGAGAACCCAAGAUUGGUAGUGUAGGAACACAACCAGCCUUGCUUUGAUACCAAAUGAUACAAAACUCCCCAAGAACACAACAACACAAACACCAAAAUUAGUCCACUAGUUCAAGAACUAUGAACCCUUUUUUGGUGACCUCUCUCGGAUUCAAGAACAUAAUAAGAAGACCAUGUAGUGAGGUGUUUAACACCUAUUUUUCAGAAGCAAACCAAACUAUAUUAUGACAAUAAAAAUGAAGAACAAAAAUAUUACAACAACAAUAACUAAACGGCUUGAACAACAAUAACACAAACUACAAGAUUAAGACAAGAAACAAAGAUAGAUAGUUGGACAAGUGUUGAUGUAGUCUUAACAACCCAAGAGCAUGUUCCACUCUUGGACCUUUAACACUUCAUACAACAAACACCUAACUCUUACAAUGACAAAAGAGAGGCAUCCACCUCUCAAAGCACCAAAGUCUCAAGCUUUACAACCCACAAGAGAAUCCACCCUUAUGCUAUGCCCUAAUUUCAGUUUCGAGCUCUCUCUCACAAAAGUAGUGUUCUUCAAUAUUAAGCACAAACUAAGACAAUAAACCCUACCAUGUUAUAUUUAUAUUACAAUGCAAAAUAAUAGAUAAAUGACAAAAGGUCCUUCCAUCAAAAAGGCCUCAAGGCCACCCAAUGGAGUGCAUUCAAAAACUUAUUUGGGCCUCAUCCACACUUGGGCUUGUGCAUUCUUUAGUUGGUCUUCAAGUUGCUCAAAAAACAUCUAAGGUCAUGAUCAUUCCCGUAUCAACUGGGGUAUUCGUGUUCCUCCUCAUCACAUGACUAAACCAUCUAAACCUCGUUUUCCUCAUCUUGGCUUCUACCAAAGCCACUCUCAUCCUAUCACGAAUAACCUUAUUUUUAAUCCUAUCUUUCCUAGUACACCCACACAUCCAUCAAAGCAUUCUCAUCUCCAAUACCCUCAUCUUCUGGAUGUGGGUCUUUUCUACAGGUCAACACUUCGCCCCAUGCAACAAAGUCAGUCUAACCACCACUCUGUAGAACUUGCAUUUAAGUUUGAGAGGUAUCUUUUUGUCAUACAAGAUAUCGGAGGCGAGCCUCCAUUUCAUCCACCCUACCCAGAUCCGAUGUGUGACAUCCUCGUCAAUCUCUCCAUUCUCUUGAAUCAUCAACCCCAGAUACUUGAAACUAUCUCUCUUACUGAUAGAAUGAGUGUCAAGAUUAACAACCACAUCAGACUCAUAAGACAUAUCGCUGAACUUACAUUUCAAAUAUUUCGUCUUGGACCUAGUCAACCUAAAACCCUUUAGACUCAAGAAUUUGCCUCCAAACCUCCAAUUUAGCAUUAACUCCACUACAUGUCUCAUCAAUCAAGACCACAUCAUCCACAAAAAGCAAACGAUAAGGCACCUUAUCUUGAAUGUGCCGCUUCAAAACAUCCAUCACCGAGGCAAAAAAAAAAACGGACUAAGCGUUGAACUUUGAUGUAAUCCCAUCCAAACAGGAAAGUGCUCUGAGUCCCCUCCCCCAGUCCUAAUUAGUGAGUAAGUAUUGUUUACAAAUACUUAAAUUUUUUUAAUUUGAACGGAAAAAAAUUAAUUCUGGAGAUACUUAUUAAUAUAUGUCAUUCAACCAUCUGAUUUUUCAAUAUUAUCUAAAAUAUAUGUAAUGAUUUAUCAAUAUGAUCAAAGUAUAUACUUACAUAUAUUUUAGUUAAUAAUCAAUAGUGAAUUAAUGAUGAAAGCAUAAAGUCUGUCUUAAGUAGAAUCGAAUCGACAAGCUCUUGAUAAAAACCAACAAAGUCAAUAGAAUAAAUACCUUUUUUUAGAUCACAAAUAUUCAUAUUUUUAACAAGAAGUAUAUAUGAUUUAUUUUUAUAAUAUCAUAAGUACCAAUAUUUAUUUAUUUUCAUUGUUAAAUUACCUACCUAAUCGGACAUCGUUGCAUACGUAAUUUUUGCACCAAAAAUGUGGAUAUCAUUUUGAUCAUUUCUUAAGAUUUUGUGUCAGGAACAAGAAUUUAAUAUUGGUUCAAUAUUCAAUUUCUCAGUCGCAACCAAAAAUAAAAGAAAAUUGUUAUGCAUGAUAUUGAUUGACCUCUUAAUUUUCAUUUAGUUAAAGGACAUUUUUAAGUUAAAACAAAAUAAUAUUUGGGUUAAAAUCCGUAACCGAGGACAAAAUUGGCCAUUUUCAUUUACGUGAAUUAAAGCUACAGAAAAUAAGUAUACUUUACAUUAAAAAACCAAUAUUCCUUGAAAUAACUAGUUAAUGAAGAAGUGCUUAUUGUAUCUUAUCGAAAAAGUCAUUAAUUUAUCGAAAAAGUCACAACUUCUCGAAAUUAUCAACAACUAUCAAAAAGGUCAUCACAAUCAUUCAAAGUAAAAAAAAAAAAUGUCAAAAAAAAAUGUCUUUUAAUAUUCACCCUUUCUCUUGAUGUCCAUUCAUUUUUCAUUAUACCUCUUAGAAAAUCAGCAUACGUACAUAUACUUCCUUGUUUCAUAUUAAUUGGUCCUCUUAGUAAAAAUAUUUGUUUCAUUUUAGCUGUUCAGAUUCUAAAAUCAAGAAAAGUUUAUUGUGCUUUUUCAAUAUUACCUCUAUCAUUAAAUGGUUAUAUAGAGUGUAUUUAAUCAAAUUUAUAUUUUCAAUAUAUAAUUAAUAGAGUUAAUUCAGUAAAAUAAAUCUCUAUUACAUGUUUUCUUAAGGGGAGUGUCAAGUUAAUAAGAACCAACUAAACGAUACGGAGAAAGUACUCCCUCCGUUCCAUUUUACUUGUCUCAAAUUUUUUAAUUUGAUUUAUCAUUUACUUGUCAUUUUUCACAAAUCAAGAAGAGACAAAAUUUUUUUUUCAUAUUUUACCUUUGCAUUAAUUAUUUUUUUUUCAAAUUAAAAUGUAAACAUCAUUUAAUAAGGGUAUUAUGGUGAACUAACCCUAUUAUUGAUUAUUUUUUUAAUCACCAUAACAAGUUAAUGGAAUAAGUAAAAUUUGACGGAGGGAGUAUUAGUUGCAGAGGUUUUAGUCAUACUGGUAUUAAUUAGGCAUGUAAUAGUUAUGUGAGUAUAAUUGUUCCAUCGUUUAGCCUACAUAAGAUAAUAUAUUAGAUAAUAUAUUAAUUUUCUCAUAACUUAUAUAUGUAUUAAUUAUGUGAAUUUUUAAAUUAUAAAAUAAAUAUUUUACUAAUUUUAUACAUUAAUAACUUACUAUUUCUCCGUUUAAAAAAGAAUGAUCUAUUUUGAUUUGACAUAAAGUUUAAAAAAAUAAAGAAACUUUUGAAUUUUGUGGUUUUAAAUUAAAAUUGUGUCAAUAGUAUCAAAAUAUUUUUUAAUCUUGUAGUCCUAAACAUGUCAUAUGUAAAGUUAAAAUUAAAGUAUUACAAAAAAAAGGGUCAUUUUUUUUUUAAAACGGACUCAAUAUUGCACAAACUUAUAAAGAGAUUAAUAUAUAAUUACUAGAAGAGAAUGGCCCGUGUCAGUACGGGCCCAACAUUAAGAUAUUUAUUUAUCUUUUCAAUCUUGAAAUAUUUAAAUAAAAAAAUUUAAUAAAAGGAUUGCAUAUGUUUUCUAGGAUUCAUUCGGAAUCUAGCAUGAGUUCAACAUAUGUUAUUUUAAUAUGUAUUUAGAUAAUUUAAGUUGUUAACUAUUGUAAUUUAUAAUAUUUUUUAUGUAAUUUUUAAAUUAAUAUACGUUACUUUUCUUGUCCAAAUUUUUGUGCCAUUGAUAAUCAAUUAUAUUUUGAAAAUAAUUUAAGUUUUUAAUUAUUGUGAUUUAUAAUACUUUUCUUCUAUUCCAAUUUUAGUGACACUAAUAUGAUUUUAAGAGUCGAUCAAAUAUUUAUAUCUUUUAAUUUUUUUAAGUUGUUAAUUAUUGUGAUUUCUAGUAUUUUUCAUGUAAUUUUUUUAAAAUAUGUAACAUAUUAAUUUUUUUUUAGAUAUUUUAAGUUGUUAAAUAUUGUAAUUUAUAAUACUUUUUAUGUAAUUUUUGAAUAAUAUAUGCUACUUUCCUUGUCCAGAGUUUUGUGUCGACGAUAGUCAAUUAUAUUUUUAAAAAUAAUUUAAAUUUUUUAUCAUUGUGAUUUAUGAUAUUUUUUCUAUUUCAUCUUAUGUGGCUCAAUGUUUAAAUGACCAUAANNNNNNNNNNNNNNNNNNNNNNNNNNNNNNNNNNNNNNNNNNNNNNNNNNNNNNNNNNNNNNNNNNNNNNNNNNNNNNNNNNNNNNNNNNNNNNNNNNNNNNNNNNNNNNNNNNNNNNNNNNNNNNNNNNNNNNNNNNNNNNNNNNNNNNNNNNNNNNNNNNNNNNNNNUAGUUCCGGGGGGCCCGUGCUAAGCCCGGGCCCAACCUCAAGAUAUAAAUAUAGUAUGUAAUUUAUCAAAUAAAUAUAAUUUGUUUCAUAUUUUCAACAAUAUUAUUUAGAUUAAUCAUAUCUAGACAAUAAAAUUUCAGAACUAUUAAAGUUUUACAUUUGCCCGAUGCUUAUAAGCCUAGAUUCUAACUAAUAUAAAAGAUUAAAUUUGUAAUUACUUUUUUAUCUUUAUGCUUUUUGUGACAUUAAGUUAUUGAAAGAGUAGUUCAAAAUUUCCUGCAAAUUCUUAAAAAUUAAAUCAUUGUAUAAAUGUAUUUGUAAGUUAAAAGAAAAAAUUAUUUGUAUUUUUAAAUCAAUAUGUAAAAUAAAGGUUGUUUUCAUGGAAUGCUUUGAGAAUAUAACAUCCAACAAUUCAAAUUAAACUUAAUCAUAUGUUGGAUUAAUUUCUUGAAUAGUUGCACUCCUAUGUGAAUCAAUAUUUAUUUUGAGAUUAAUUUUUUCUAGAGGUUAGAGAUUGAAUUAAAGUCUUGCAAAACAUCUUUAAAAUUUUUUUAUUUAUUAAAUUAUAUAAAGACAAUUGAAACUAAAGUAGUAAUUUCCCUACUCCUUUAAAAAAAAAAAAAGAUAAUUAAGCAAUUGAAACACAAUGAAAAAACUCAAUAGUAAUUUUUCAUACUAACACCAUCAAGUGCAAGGAUUCUUCUCGCAAGGAGGAAAUACUUCAUCUUUAUCAAUCACAUGCCAUUGUUUUAGAGAUUAAUUAAUUUUCUAAAAUAAAUUAAAAAAUAAUUAAAUUCCAAUAUAAGAAAUAUGUACCCAAAAAAAAACAAGUAAUCUAAUAGUAAACAAGAAGGGAUUUACAAAAAAUACUAUAUAUAAUUUAAUUAUAGAGGUCUAAAUGAAAAUAAUCAUUAAAUAAUGAAUGACGACAAAAAUAAUACUUAAUGUAUUGGAAAAAAUAAUAGACACAUGUAGCAAUUUCAUUGAAUAAAUAUUUUUGUGAGGACUAUCAAAUAUUAUCUUAUUCUCUCAUAUAUAUAAGUACUAGUUAUAUUAGGCCUGUGCUAAGCCCGGACCCAAACUCAUGAGAAUAAUAUUUUAAUAAAAAUAUAAUAUGUAUCAUAUCUUCUUAAAGCACAAUUAUAAAUUUAAUGACAUAUUAAACAUGUGUUGUUGAUAAGUUCUCAUAACUAUUAAAAAAUUUUAGUUAUUUAAUUAUAUGAUUUUUGAGCAAAAAAAUGAUUUAUGAGAAAGGAUGUUUGGUAGGAGGAUGAACAAAUACAAACAACUUCAUAUUUUGUAAGUAACACGAUUUAAAUUAUAUAAAAUAGUUAUAAUUCUAUGAAAAUCAUAAAGUAAAAAAUAUGGACAUUUUAAUGAUUUGUGAGCAUAUAAGUUUUUAUUUAUUGAUAAUAAAAUGAUUAUUUUAACAUUUAUUAAGUUUUAGUUUCGCUCAUAAUAUUUUACGGGAUAAAAAUUUAAGCUUGUUAAAUUUGAUGAUUUAAAUCUAGUAUUAGCUAAAAUUAAGGAAAAAUCAUUGAAUGAACCUCAAGAAUCAAUUUAGUUUUUUAUAUAUGGUUUAUGAAUAAAAUAUUAAUUAUCAAUUUAAUGACAAGUUGAUCUAACUUAAUUUAGCUUUAAAAUUUAAUUAAAGUGACUAUUAAAAAGUAUCACAUAAAUUGAAAUAAAAAAAAAAGAAUAAGUUCUAAUAAUGCUUCAGUUGAAAAUGUAACGUAUAUAGCUUCAAAAUUGACUAAAUUUUACAAAAAUGCAUAAUGACAAAUAUGUAAACAUAAUUUAAUACUUCUUUCGAUUCAUAUUUAUGGUGUUUUUAGCUUGAAUAUAGUUCCUGCGAAAUCAAUUACCCUUAUAAAAUUAAAAAAAAAUAUUUAUUAAAUUAUACUCAUUUAAGUAGUAUCAAUUUAAUAUUAUUUCUUGAUUGCGUAAAAUUUUAUUUAUUUAUAUAAUAUUAAUUUGAGUUUUCUUAUUAAUAUAUUUUAAAUUAUCUAAAAAUUUAUUUUUAAUUAAAUCUAAAACUCAAAAUACCAUAUUAUAAUAUGAAUAGGGGGAAGAAAAUAAUAUUCACAAUAAGUUUUUUUUUCAUUCGAUAUUCGAUGCUCGUACUGAAUCCCCGACUAAUUCAGAUCACGCGUUGCAGGACCUAUUAAAGUGAUAGCGCUCCCAACAUAUUCACAAUAAGCUACGGAUGAAACCUAAAAUACCAUAUAAUAUAUGAAUAGUACCAUGAAUAGGGAGAAGAAAGAAAAAGAUAUUAUUCACAAAAAGUUAGUGGGCCAUAAGAAAAAAACAACAACAAAACUCAAGAGUAUGCCCACUUGUAUUUUAUCAACCAAUUGAAACAUUUAAAAGUAUUCCCAAACUGACCCUAUGAGGACGACCAAAAAGGCCAUCCUCACUUAUAUAUAGUAUAAUAAUUGCAUGAGAGGUGGUCGAAACCACCUCUUCUAUAUAAUAUGUAAUAAAAAUAGAAAUAUAUAUAUAGUAAUUGCAUGAAAGGUGGUCGAAACCACCACUUCUAUAUAAUAGAAAAGAAAUUAUAUAUAUAUAUAUUAUAUAUAUAUAGUAAAAUCGGGGAUUCAAUAUUACUAAUUUUUCAAUACAUAAGUGACUUAUAAUAAUUAAUUGCGGGUGAUACAUUAAAAUCACGAUUGAAGCAGUAGAAAUCAGUCAAUUUUUUUUCUUAAUUAUUGUUAUUUACAGUACUUUUUAUUUCAUUUUCAAAUAAUANNNNNNNNNNNNNNNNNNNNNNNNNNNNNNNNNNNNNNNNNNNNNNNNNNNNNNNNNNNNNNNNNNNNNNNNNNNNNNNNNNNNNNNNNNNNNNNNNNNNNNNNNNNNNNNNNNNNNNNNNNNNNNNNNNNNNNNNNNNNNNNNNNNNNNNNNNNNNNNNNNNNNNNNNNNNNNNNNNNNNNNNNNNNNNNNNNNNNNNNNNNNNNNNNNNNNNNNNNNNNNNNNNNNNNNNNNNNNNNNNNNNNNNNNNNNNNNNNNNNNNNNNNNNNNNNNNNNNNNNNNNNNNNNNNNNNNNNNNNNNNNNNNNNNNNNNNNNNNNNNNNNNNNNNNNNNNNNNNNNNNNNNNNNNNNNNNNNNNNNNNNNNNNNNNNNNNNNNNNNNNNNNNNNNNNNNNNNNNNNNNNNNNNNNNNNNNNNNNNNNNNNNNNNNNNNNNNNNNNNNNNNNNNNNNNNNNNNNNNNNNNNNNNNNNNNNNNNNNNNNNNNNNNNNNNNNNNNNNNNNNNNNNNNNNNNNNNNNNNNNNNNNNNNNNNNNNNNNNNNNNNNNNNNNNNNNNNNNNNNNNNNNNNNNNNNNNNNNNNNNNNNNNNNNNNNNNNNNNNNNNNNNNNNNNNNNNNNNNNNNNNNNNNNNNNNNNNNNNNNNNNNNNNNNNNNNNNNNNNNNNNNNNNNNNNNNNNNNNNNNNNNNNNNNNNNNNNNNNNNNNNNNNNNNNNNNNNNNNNNNNNNNNNNNNNNNNNNNNNNNNNNNNNNNNNNNNNNNNNNNNNNNNNNNNNNNNNNNNNNNNNNNNNNNNNNNNNNNNNNNNNNNNNNNNNNNNNNNNNNNNNNNNNNNNNNNNNNNNNNNNNNNNNNNNNNNNNNNNNNNNNNNNNNNNNNNNNNNNNNNNNNNNNNNNNNNNNNNNNNNNNNNNNNNNNNNNNNNNNNNNNNNNNNNNNNNNNNNNNNNNNNNNNNNNNNNNNNNNNNNNNNNNNNNNNNNNNNNNNNNNNNNNNNNNNNNNNNNNNNNNNNNNNNNNNNNNNNNNNNNNNNNNNNNNNNNNNNNNNNNNNNNNNNNNNNNNNNNNNNNNNNNNNNNNNNNNNNNNNNAUUAAUAUAAAUUAAUAGAAUAUAUUAAAUAUUUAAAUCAUUAUGAUGAAAUAAUGAAAUUAUUAUAUAUUGAGACAUAACAUAUAAUUAAAUGAAAGUGGAGGAGUUUUUUGAUAAUUGCAUGAGCGGUGGUCGAAACCAUCUCUUCUUCUCUAUAAUAGAAAAGAAAAGUUUCCUCUUUACUGUACAACAAACAACCCCUUAACUAAUAUAUGUUGAAAAUGAAGUAAUUCAACUGGUUUGAGCAAAUAUGCCCCUAGGCCUAGAGCCUGCAAAAUGAUUUUACUACUUAGCUUCUUCAAUCCACGUGUGAGACAACUGAAAUUUUGAGAAUUCACUUCGAUUGAAUUUUUUUUAUAUACUUGUUAAAUAAUUAAAAUUAUUAAUUAUUAUAAUUAAUGAAACUAACAUAAUUUUUCAAAAUAUAUAAAUUUUGUGUUUUUUAAAAAAUUAAAAUUUAUAUAUUUAAAUACACGAUCUAAAUAUUAAAAAUAAAAAAGCUAUUGAUAACACAUGUUAUAUAUUGAGCUCCGACUAAAUUGAACGUACAAUGUAUUUAUUUCUCGUUUAGCAUUUAAUAUUUGUCUUGAAAUUUUUAAAUUUGAGACCCCUAGUUCGGUGUGAGUAGGGCUGGGCAUUAGGUAUUUGGUUUGGUAUUUUCAAAGUUUGAGUUCGGUAAUUCGGUAAUUCGGUAAUCAAAAUUUGAACAUAAAUACCACAUACCAUACUUAUAAACAUCGGUUUAGUAGUUCGGUCAUCGGUAAAUUAAACUUCGAUUCGGUACGGUAUUUGAUAAUACCAUAUUAAAGUUGGAGAUGUGUAAAUGUACGUUUAAACUUCAAAGAGUAUAUUUAAUAGAAACCUCAUUUAGUAUUUUUUUUUUUUUUUUUUUACGAAUAUAUUACCAAAGUCCAAGAAAUUCUUUAGAAUAACUAGUACUAUUGUCAAUUGGGAUGGGUUUUAUAUAUAUUUGAUAUUCGGUAAAUACCAAAUACCAAACGGUAUUAAUAUCUUGUACCAAACCUAAUUCCGAAUACCGAAAUAUUGAAACUUUACUCCCAAAUACUAUAUCAAAUACCGAAUUAUCGAAUAUCAAUUACCAAUUUUCACGAUUCGAUUUAGUAAUUCAAUUUUUGAUAUUUUAUGCCCAGUCCUAGAUGUGAGGAUCUCUUCAUCAUGACAAUUUGCCGUACGUUGAAGUAAUUCAAAUUUAUAGUCGAUGUAAAUUUACUUUCUCUGCCCAUCUUUAUUUAUUUAUUUAUAAUUGACCUAUUAUAUACCUUAAAAAAUAAUUGAUAGAAAUAACUUUUAUAUAUAAUUCUUUAAAUAUAACAAAUUUAUUAGUUAGGAAAUGAAUUAUAAUGUACACAUUAUUUAAUAGUAAAGAUAAAAUAAAUAUAAAUUAAUAAAUUAUUUAUUAAUUGUUUAAAUUAAAAAGUAUUAUUAAUUAUAUAUUUUUAAUAUAUGGAUCAGAUAAAGAUGGACGGAGUGAGAAUCUUUAGUAGCCGUUUGGCUAUGAAAACUAAAAUUUUUCGGAGUUGGAGUUGAAGCUGGAGUUGAAAUUGGAGUUGGAGUUGUGUUUGACCAUGUAUUUUUUGAUUAUUUUUUUUUUUACUUUUGAAAAAAAAAAUUUAAAUAUAAUUUUAUGCCCCAACUUUUACAAACUAUCAAAAUCACCUAACUAAAAUUUACCUACUAAUGUAAAAAGAACACAAUUAGCUACUUUUACAAAAAUAAUUACACAUACAUGGCCUUAUUUAAUGUAUUUCAAUUAUGACAUAUAUAAUAUUUACAUUAAUAACCGUUUUCUCAUAUUUAAAAAUUUUAAAUAUGGAUGCUAUAUUAACAAAUUACUGUUUCCUAUUUUUUAGGUAACAAAUAUUAUCUUUCAAACAAAUUUAUUUUUUUAGGAAUUUAUUUAAUUUAUAUCUUUUAUUUUUCGUUCCUUAAAAAAUAGAAAAUGAUGAGUUGUUAUUAAAUUUUAGGGUGCCGCUAAUUUAUUUCUUUAAUUUUCUUAUACGUGAAAGAUUUUAUUGUGUGUGAAUUAUUUUUAUGUAAAACAUACUUUGCAUAUUUAUGAUAUAUUAUAUCAUAUACCAUAAAUAUAUAAAUAUGCUUAGUAUGUUUCUUUACUUUGUAUAUUUAUAUAUGUGUAUUUGGUAUAUACAUGGUAUAAACUUCAUAUAUAACAUACUUUGUAUAUUUAUGCUAUAAAUAUAAUACUUUAUAUAUUUAUGGGUAUAAAUAUAAUACUUUGUGUAUAAAGAUAACAAGUAUCAUGGUAUAUAAAGGUAGCAGUUGCAGUUUAAGGUAUAAAUUUGUUAAAUUGGACAUAUUUUUUUAUGAAAAAUAUGUAUCACCGAUUUAUAUUUUUAGCAUAUAUAUGGCAUAAACAAUUUAUAUUUGAAUAGUAUAAUAAAGAUAUACACAAUAUAAUAUAUAUAAUCAAAUUAAAAAUGAAAAUAAUUUGUGGCAGUGGUAAACUAAUCUGCUACAACUUUAUUAAUUUCAUAAAUAUAGAAAACAAUUAUCCAUUAUUAAUUACACGACUAUAAUUCCUUAAACGUUCGUAUCACAACAGAAAAAUUAUUAUUAUUAUUAUUAUAUUAUAGUAAUUAGGAUCAUUAGCAGUAAAAUAAUGUCUUAAAUAAGGGAAAAAAAUAAUGAUGAGAGAGAAAAAAAAUAUAUCUUACUUAAGAUAAUAUUAAGUUUGAAAUUAUAAUUAUCUUAUACUUUAAAACUACUAUAUACGUAAUAUUAAAAAAGUAAUGUUAUAAGAAGAGUUUUAUGUAAAAAUUUAAAAGAUUAGGAUUAUAUGUAAUAAUACUAAAAAUUGAAAUUGGGGUUGGAAAAUUGGGAAAACACCCAAAAACUUUCCCUUUUCAGAAAAAUUUUCUGAAAUUAUUUUUCAAAUUUUCAUGACCAAACAUCAUAAUUUCUAACUCCAAAAUUUUUUUUCGAAAAAAGAGAAAAAGUUUUCAUGGCCAAACGGGCUCUUAGCGGUGCUGUUUUUUGCUUUCAUCCCUUGACUUGGAUGAAUGUUGUUUACUGAAACGGCAGGUGCCACGUAACGAGACAGCUUGUCAUCUAAUUGUCCCUUAUCACAUUGUGUAUCCAACAUGUCAUCUGAUUUUUCUCAUUUUGCAUUUAGUUUUGUCCAUUGGAUUGUUGGACCAAAUUAAUUACUCAUCCUCAUAAAUAAAAACAAGAUAGCAGAAUCUCAAAGAGCAGAAUCCAGAACAAAAAAAAAAAAGAAGCAUAGAAAGCAUGAAAAGAUGGAGAAAGGGACAUGGAGAUUCGAGUAGCACAACAAAAAUGGAAAUUGUACAAUAAUGGAAACUUGUGGAAAUAUUGGAUUAGGGCUAAAAAAGAAGAAGGAAAUUGGGAGAAGGAAGUUGGAAAUUAAGAGAAUUCAAGAUAAAAAUUGUAGACAAGUUGCUUUCUGUAAACGCAGACAAGGUCUUAUCAAGAAAGCCAAUGAACUUUCAAUUCUCUGCAAUGUUGAUGUUGGUGUUGUUAUAAUCUCCAAAAAUGGCACUGGCAGGCUCCAUGAAUACUCUAGCACUAACAGGUAUAUAAAAUAAUUUCAAGCAGGAUCGGAUAAAGUGUGAUAUCUCAUAAUUAAAUUUGAGAUUAGGUUUAUAUAUAGGAUAACAAGUAUAUAUCUGAAAUGUUUAUUUAGUUCUCAUUUUGCAAGUAAUACACACGGAUGUCAUGGACAAUACGAUUGGGAAUGGGCAUCCAAAUAAUUUGAAAUUUUAAUCAUUUUUCAGAAUGAACUUACUUUUUUCAAUAUAGAACUGUUUGAUAAAGUUAUGAACCAAUUGUCCCACAUUGGAAAAAAUGAGAAAUGCUAAGGGAAUUAUAAGCCAAAUAAGUUCUCCCACCUAUUAGACUACCUAUUAGACUAGUCUUUUGGGUUGGGCCCUCCCGUUUGGUUUAUAACAUUGAUGCUUUCAUUGAGAGUCCCACGCGUUGGGCCGUGACUCGGAGUGGUGGUCUGAACAACUGGACGUAGCCGUGACCAACGAGGAUCGAUCCACGUGUGGGGAGCCCGCACAUUGGGACUACACUCGUAGUGGUGGCCUAUGGACCCAAGAAAGGUGUCAGCCGUGACCAACAAGGAUCGAUUCACGCGUGGAGCCACAAUUAGGAGUGGUGGCCUGUGCGCUAGGAGUGGUGGCCUGGACCUAAGAGGGGUGCCAGGCAUGACCAACUGGGCUAAGCCGUGACCAACGAGGUCGUUGGUUCUCAAGUGGAGACGAUUGUUAUGAACCAAUUGUCCCACAUUGAAAAAAAAAAAGAAAUGCUAUAAGCCAAAUGGUUUCUCCCACCUAUUAGACUAGUCUUUUGGGUUGGGCUCUCCCGUUUGGUUUAUAACAGAUAAACCAACAGGAAUAACUCGAUCUACAAAUCCUAAUCAACCAAUGACCUAACACUACUAGAAUCCUCAAGAGGAAGUUUUACGAAAAAUCCCAAGUCAAAUAAUUCAAAGGCAAUUCAAAUCUCACAAAUUCACAACAUGCUAAUUAGUAUAAAGUUACUAAUUAUAUUUAUAGUCAGGCUAAAUUAUUGCAUAGAAGUGCUUAGUUAAGUAAGGGGUCAUGCCCCCUUGAAUGCAAACACGAAGUGUUUUCAGACAAAGAAGUAGACAACAAGAUCAAAUUUUGACCCGAUCAUUAUUUAUGGAAAGAAACAGAAGGAAGAAGGACAACAGAGUUGGAGAGUCAAGUGAGGUCCCAUCGAGGUUCCAGUCCGCGACUCUGUUAUUACAUUAGAAAUAAACAUUACAAGUUAAAACAUAAAUGAAAUUAUAAAAACUCUUAUCUAUGCAACUUUUCUUGACUCCUGACUCGCUACUUCAUCACCCUGUUCUUCAAGCGGGCUCCUAACUUGCAAUUUCUUCAACUUGUUGCUUGCCUUUCAAUUUCUUCACCCGGUUCUUCAUGCGGGUUCCUGACUUGCCUUUUUUCAACUGUUGACUUUUAAUUUUCUUCCUCUUGUUGCUUGUUUUUCAACUGCUUCACCUUGUUGCUUGACUUUCCAUGUAUUCGCCCUGUUCUUCAGGCGGGCUCCUGAAAUCACAUCAAAACUAAAAAAAAAAAUUAUCCCACACAAAGAAAUACAUCUUCUAUAAGUUAAUUGGAAUGAUUCGACUAAAAGAUAUGUCUUAUAGGAAUCAAAGGAGAUGACUCGACUAAAAGGUACAUCUUAUAGGAAUCAAAGGAAAUGACUCAACUUAAAGGUACAUCUUAUAGGAAUUAAGGAAAUGACUCGACUAAAAGGUACAUCUUCUAGGGGUCCAGGGGAAUGACUUGACUAAAAGAUAUGUCUUACAGGAAUCACAGGGAAUGACUCGACUAAAAGAUACGUCUUCUAGGGGUCAAGGGGAAUGACUCGACUAAAAUGUACGUCUUAUAGGAAUCAAAUGAACGACUCGACUAAAAGGUACGUAUUCUAGGGGUCAAGGGGAAUGACUCGACUAAAAGGUACGUCUUUUAGGGGUCAAGGGGAAUGAUUCGAGGUACGUGUUCUAAGAGUCAAGGGGAAUGACUCGACUAGAAGGUACGUCUUAUAGGAAUCAAGGGGGAUAACUCGACUAAAAGGUACGUCUUAUAGGAAUCAAAGGAGAUGACUCUACUAAAAGGUACGUCUUGUAGGAAUCAAGAAAGAUGACUCGACUGAUAGGUACGUCUUAUAGGAAUCAAAGGGAAUGACUCGACUAAAAGAUACGUCUUAUAGGAAUCAAGGGGAUUAACUCGACUAAAAGGUACGUCUUAUAGGAAUCAAAGGGAAUGACUCGACUAAAAGAUACGUCUUAUAGGAAUCAAGGGGAUUGACUCGACUAAAAGGUACGUCUUAUAGGAAUCAAAGGAGAUGACUCGACUAAAAGGUACGUCUUAUAGAAAUCAAGAGAGAUGAAUCGACUAAUAGCUACGUCUUAUAGGAAUCAAAGGGAAUGACUCGACUAAAAGGUACGUCUUAUAGGAAUCAAGGGGAUUGACUCGACUAAAAGGUACGUCUUAUAGGAAUCAAGGGGAUUGACUCGACUAAAAGGUACGUCUUAUAGGAAUCAAGGGAGAUGACUCGAUUAAAAGAUACGUCUUAUAGGAAUCAAAGGGAAUGACUCGACUAAAAGGUACGUCUUAUAGGAAUCAAGGGAGAUGACUCGAUUAAAAGAUACGUCUUAUAGGAAUCAAGGGAGAUGACUCGACUAAAAGGUACGUCUUAUAGGAAUCAAGGGGAUGACUCGACUAAUAGGUACGUCUCUUAGGAGUGAAGGGAGAUGACUCGACUAAAAAAUACGUCUUCUAGGGGUCAAGGGGAAUGACUCGACUAAAAGGUACGUCUUAUAGAAAUCAAGGGAGAUGACUCAACUAAAAGGUACGUGUUAUAGGAAUCAAUGGGAAUGACUCGACUAAAAGCUAUGUCUUAUAGAAAUCAAGGGACUCGACUAAAAGGUACGUCUUCUAGGAGUGAAGAUUCAAUUUAAGAAGUGUAUCACCUAGCAAAUAAAAACUGAAAUCCCUGGACAAGAAAGUGUCUCCGAGGGAUAAAGGAUGUGAAUUUUACCAUGACUUGAUUAUCAAACCUGUGCAGCAACAUUGCUUCCUGCUUUUGUAAAAGUGAGGCAUUGCAGCCCUUGAUGUUUAUGCUUUGGAGUCCUUGCUUUGAAGGUAAUAUGUUUCCUGUUUUAUCAAAGAAAACUUGUGAGUUUAAAAACACGGUGACUGGUUUGUGGCUUUAGCUUUCGCGGCGAUCGCUCUUGUCCUCAUCACAUUUAACCUUGCUUCCAACUGUUAGCAUGCAUCAUUGACCCAAACUUAGGUUAUUAAGAGUGACUCUGAAACAAACACAAUAUUUCUCCUUUGCCAUGUUUUCUCAGAUAAACCCUUUGCGCCUUGGUAUUUCCAUGGGUUAACAGACUUGUCUGUUGACAAAACUUUUUGCAUGUUUUUUUUUUCAGCUUACAAUCAUGUCUCUUUCAUGCGUUGGCCUUUCUAUCUUACUUUGUAAAAUUGAAGAAGCUGGUAGUCAGUUUUGGAAACUUUUCUCCCUUGUUUUGACAUAGACUUGACUCAAAGACAAGAGAAAAAAUGACAAUGAUUUUUUAUUUGGUUAACUGACUCAAGAAAAUAAAAUAAAAAUAAAGAGAAAAGGAAAAGACAUUGAAUGUCCCUCUUUGAAAAAAGAAAUGAAAAUUUAUCUAGAAAAGACAGUUAACUCUAAUUAUUAUGUCAUGCAUUUUGGAUUAAGCUGCCUGAUCUUUCCAUCCAAUUUUCUACCAAUUGCUGUUGAGUUAAUGGCCUUGAAACCGAAUUGCUUCCUUAGGCCAAAUUCAUUCGGAAACCUUAUUCGGCUAGUGGCGCCUUGAAGGGUUUUUGCUGACAAACCUGUUUAUUUUUCUCAGUUCACCAUUGCCUUAUGGUGCCCGUGAUGGUUUUCACCAAUAAGACUCAUUUUUAUUUCUCUCAACUGACCAUCGCCUUAUGGUGCCCGUGAGGCUUUUCACCAAUAAGACUCUCUCAUUUUUAUUUCUCUCCUGAUUUCUUAUGCUGAGAAAGACAAGUAGUACCUAAAAUGCAUCAUCAUAUCCAUUGCAUACUUAGCCUUAACAUCAGUAAGUGUGUAUAUAUUGUUCUCAUUUUUCUUUGUAAAGAAAAAAUGCGAGGGGGUUAUGAGGAUGGGUUAGUGGGGGUAGGGUAUAGGGUAGGUGGGGUAGGGUGAGUUGGUUAGGAUAAGAUUUGUUAGGAAUUUUGUUAAGGGUUCUAUUUUUUUGCAUUUUUAUGGGAUAUAAUCAUACGAGUGAGGACACACAGUAAGACAGAGGUAAAAUGGUAAAAGUGCUAUCGGGGAGGGACAAAAUUAGGUGUCUACAAGGGGAAAGGACAGAAACGACACUUCAAAUAAAACUAUUUCCACGGAAAUGACCAUGGAAUUUAAAUUUCACUUUCUAGUCAUUUAUUUAUUGGCUUGUUCUAUACCAUUUCUACACACCUUCUACACAGUUUCUAUACAUAUCUUAUACAUAUAAAUAUUCUAUACGAAAAUUAUACAAUUUCGAUACACAAUUUAUAUAAUAAUUGUACAUUUUUUGUACAUAUUUUAUACAAUAAUUAUAUAAUUUUUAUAGACUUUCUAUAUAUUUUAUCAAUAUACAUAUUUGAUAGAACUAUACAAUUUCUAUACAUAUAUCUUAUAAAGAUACGUAUGCUAUAUAACAAUUACACCCUUUUUAUAUAAUUAUAUUUAAUUAUUGUUUCUAAAUUAUAAAAAAAAAGCAGUAUAUUUUUUCAGCUAAAAAAUUUAUAACAAAAAGAAAAACUGAAAUAUUUUUAGCAGGGCCGAAUGGCCCAAGUUGAAAACUAUAUCAAUAUUGUAUAUGAACUGUAUCAAUAUGGUAUAUGGACUGUGUCUGAACUACAUGGGUCAAAAUGACCCAAAUUAGGAAAUGACAAUAAAGUGGAAAUAGUAUACCCGAUUGACCACUUUUUGAAAAAAUGUCAAACUUGGACUUUUUGUUUUAAAAAGUACUAAACAAUGUCCUUUUCCCGUUAAAUAAUCCUAAGAUAGGCCCAAAAGUGUCAUUAGCCACUUUCGGAAAGUUCAAUUAUUGCCCCGUAGUACCACUAUCGCGGUUAAGUGUAUCACAAUCAUGAUAUGGCAAUGUUGGAAGAUAUCCUUCUCAGUGUUCCCGCUUAUUGUCUCAUAUUCACAAUGCACUAUGCUUUUUGUGCAAGAAAAUCAAUCGGGGAAUCCUCCUCCGCAUUUAAGUUUUUAACAUCGUGGUUGCGAUGCCCUGCAAUUUAGUUCCUUAGGAUCACGAUCUUCAUCCCGUGAUCACAACAGUCUACUUGAAGCACAAAAUAUGGGGUUGAAGCCUGUUGUCCAAUGAUUCCCAAAUUAGCUCCAAGCUUUGUUUCUCCAUCUUCCAAUCAUUCCAACAGUUGUAGCAUAAGAUGGAAUUUUCCAAAGGAUCAUUAAACUAAGUAUGGUUAAUAUCAACACAAGUACAACAAAUCCUAUCAACGUCAUUUUUCAUCUUAGGCCAAAAUAAGUGUUCUUGAAGAAUAGCAAAAGCUUUAAGUAUAUACCCAAAUGUCUCAUUAGACCCUCAUUAAGUGCCUCUCUGGCCAAAAUAAGUGUUCUUGAAGAAUAGCAAAAGCUUUAAGUAUACCUAAAUGUCUCAUUAGACCUCCAUCAUGUGCCUCUCUAAUAAGUAUCUUUCUCCAAGGAUAUUGAAACUGAAUACACUUUACCAUCUCUAAGCAAAUAACCAUAUCUUAGAAAGCCUUUCAUUGACCAACCUUUACUAUUUACAAAGUCAAUCUGAUGCUCGAUUCCCCCCAAAGGUGGUAGCUCCCUUGGCAACUUACUGGGAAUAACAUCUUUAUUAUCUUGGAAAAAAUAAUAGCAACAAUACUUGGGCAAAGAGAGGGUCAAUUCAUUAGUAGUAAAAAUAAAAUUUAAUUUUUAUGUAGAAAAAGCAUAAUAGAAGGAUUUUGUUCAACCUCUUUCAUUACUUUUUGACUAACCAACAUAUUCAUUUUUCCAUUAAAUUUUCCAUAAAGGUGGAUUUUCUUUCAUAUUCACACUUCUUAUAUCCUUUGACGUGCAACACUUCUUACUCCCUUCUCUCUUUCUCUCUUGCUUAUUUUUUGCAUUUUCUAGUCUCAAUCCAUUCAUUUUCUUGCAAUAUUGACAAACCUCUAAAAGAGUCAGAAGGUAAAAGAGUGAAUUUAUGAUCAUUUUAACAUGAAAAUGCUUUUUGUCUUUCAUUAUACCUUGCAUAUCUAUCAUAUUGUUAAUGUCGACCUAGAUGCAAAUGAAAGCUUGCAUUUGGCUCUACAUCACACCAAUUUUUCCUAGUUCAUUGCUAUCUUGGAAACUCCAAGUUCUCACAAUCGUUCGAACAUUGGAAACUUCUUUUCAGGACACCCCUCAUUUCAUUCCAAUGGCAAUUAGUAACAAGGCCAAGCAUAGUUGGUUCUUAAUUUGUCUCUUGUAAGAUUUCCCCCAAAUAGAGGCAAACCUUUCAAAUUGAGAGAUGACGCGCUUGACCUUGAUGGAGUUUGACAUAUUGUUGACUUAAAAAAUGCUUUCACUCUUGAUUACCCAAUACAAUUAUUCUUUUGGGUUACUGGUUCUUUUGAAAGGUAGAAGUUACAUUGAUGGUGUUCAACCUUGGUAGGGUUGGUGCUUAGAUAGCUGUUGGUAGGGUUGUUUGUAAGGGUAUUGGUAUUGUGGUUGUUCAUAAGGUUAUUGUUGGUAUGUUGUAGUUAUGGAUAUUGUAAUGAUCUAGUGGGGAUGCCUUAGAAGGAUUCUAUCUUUUUUAACAUGGGUGAUCGACCUUGUUGCAACACUUUAUGUAGUUGGUUGAGUAGUUGGUUGAGUGGUAGUGGUAUGAGAAAAAUAAUCGGGGUUCGACUCUUUCACUGCUCUAUGGACCAUCCGUAUGCUUGUACCAGCUCCUUGGUUUUGUCGAUAAGCAUUGGUACUAACCUAAGGAGUAAUGUAAUGAUCCUACUUAGUAUAACUUAGCAUAUUUUAAUUAAGCAAAUAAAGAAACGCUGGCAGUGGGGAUCGUAGUUGAAGCACAGAAGGAGUGACUAACUCGCUAACCUGGACGGCUGAGAUUUAAUUGUUAUUAAUGAGGUGCAAGGGUGGAGAUCAUGCCACUUCGCCAGAAGUCAUUAUAUAACGACUAGUGGAGAGAGAAAACACCAACGAUAAUCUGGUAUUUCCUCUCCUUUCUCGUGCUCUCUUCCUCUCUUCUCUCCUCUAAAUUUCUGAUCCUCCCCUUCUCUUCUCUGCAGAUUCAAGAACUUCCAUGGAUGCCUAUCUAUCCUAGUUAUCGUAGAUUAAUUCAGUUCUUAAUUUCCUUGUAAUUGAUAUCCAUUUUUCAUGUUUUUGAAGUAAAUUGAAAAUUGUCCCAAAAAUUUUGAAUUGUUUUACUUUUAUUGUUGCUGAAUUUAGUCAGAUCCUGAUUGGGAUCCUGACAAUCGGUAUCAGAGCCAUGGUUCCGUGCGACCUGUGUGGUGAAGAUGGCUGAGGGCACUCGCUUCAAGCUGGUGGAUGAUCGACUUUUAGACAUGAUGAAAUUUUGAAACGAAUUGCUAAUUAAUCAACAGAAAGUGCGUAACACUCAAAUAGGAAUUCAAGGAACCUUAGAGCCGCUCUUAGACAGGCUAACAACUCUUGAGAGAGUACCGAAUAGAUCUCAGGGUGAACACCAAUAAGGAGAUGGGAUACUUCCUAAUUCGCCUCAGGAAAACAAACAAAACAGGCUACAAAUGGUGCCAAUUCUCCCUCCUAAGUGGGAAUUACCCAGUUUUGAAAGUCAUGAACCCAAGGUGUGGUUCCGUAAAUGUGAAAGGUAUUUCACUAUAUACAAAACAUUGGGCAAUCUUAAGGUUGAUGCAACUGCGUUGUAUUUGAAUGGGGUAGCAGAGACUAGGUAUUAUUCUCUAGUACUGAGUAGAGGUGUGGUUAAUUGGGUAGAGUUUAAGGAAGAGCUAAUUAGCAGAUUUGAUGAUGAAUUACUGGAUGAUAUAGUGGAACAAUUUAAUAGACUCUCUCAAACAAGAUCAGUGGAUGAAUUUCUUGCUAAAUUUGAAGACCUCAAGGCUCAAAUGCUUGUGAGGAAUCCACGCCUCAAUGAUGCUCACUUUCUAUCCAGUUUUGUAGGGGCUUUGAAGGAAUAGAUUCGAUUUGCUGUUAAGAUGUUCAAACCAGCUACACUUAAACUUGCUAUUGAAAAAGCUAGGAUGCAGGAGAAGGCCAUAGAAGCUGUCCAGAGGAGAAAUAAGGUCAUAAACAAGCCCACUAGUGUUGUAAGCCACAAUCCUAAUACCAAGGUAGGGGGGAGCUUAACCACUAAACCUAAUACAUUUAAAUUGAGUUCAGAAGUUUAUGAGUACAAGAAGAAACUAUGUUUUAGGUGUGGUGAUAAGUAUCUCGUUGGUCAUCAAUGUAAACAAAAACAACUGAAUUAUUUGAUGGGAGAAGUAGAGUCUGUUAAAGAGAGACCUGGAGAGAUAGAGGAUCCUUCCUAUUCGGAUGUGAUUAUUGAAGGAGAAUUAGACCAGGAAGUUCAGGAGGUCGUAUGCUUAAAUGCACUAUCAGGUAACAAUCAAGGGGUGAACAUUAUCCUAGUCAGUGGUAUUGUGAAGAAUAGAGCACUCACCUUGUUGAUCGACUCUGGAAGCACUUAUAGCUUUCUUGAUCAAAACACUGUUAUUGAAGCAGACUAUCAAGCUAGCUAUUGUGCACCAAUAAGGGUAAUAGUAGCUGACGAAAACUAUGUAAUGUGCACCUCUCAAUGCAAAGGGUUCUUGUGAAAAAUACAAGGAAGAUCCUUUCAAGAGGACCUGCUUAUUAUACCUCUUGGAGGGUGUGACAUGGUGUUGGGAAAUGACUGAAUGAAGAAGCACAAUCCCACUAAAUUUGAUCAUUAAAAAAAGUGUUACUAUUGGCAGGUUGAGCAACAAGUUAGUGUUAAAAGGAAUAGCUGAGGAAAGGAAGCUUAAUAUGAUCACUAGUGGUACUAUGAACAAGAUGUUAAAAAUGGGGCAAAAUCUCAUUGCUCAUUUGUUUAUGAUAAGGGCCGGUGACAACAGAACCCACAAGCUAGUGGAUGAUGCUAUAUUAAAGGUACUGGACCAGUAUCCAGAUGUGUUCAAGGAGCCAAUGACCCUGCCUCCUGUUAGGUUACUUGACCAUGCCAUUCCUCUCAAAUCAGGGGUUGUUCUGGUGAGUUUAAGGACUAGGUACACUUACUAUCAAAAGAAUGAGUUGGAGAAGCAAGUCACUGAAAUGAUCAACCAAGGCAUAGUUCAACCUAGUCAAUCUCCAUUCUCUUCACCAGCUUUAUUGGUCAAGAAAAAGGAUGGAUCCUGGAGAUUUUGUGUAGACUACAGGGGGUUGAGUGAGAUCACUAUAAAUGACAAGUAUCCAAUACCUAUAGUUGAUGACUUACUGGAUGAAUUGAAUGGUUCUGUGAAAUUUUCCAAAGUCGAUCUCAGGGUUGGAUACCACCAAACCAGGAUGAAGGCUGAGGAUGUCCAUAAAACUGCGUUUAGGACCCAUGUGGGUCAUUAUGAGUUCAAGGUGAUGUCAACCAAGUUUUUCAGCCAUUCCUCCGGAGGUUUGUCUUAGUAUUUUUUGAUGAUAUACUUAUUUAUAGUGUGUCCUUAAAGGAGCAUGUUGAGCAUCUGAUAGUUGUGUUUGAUACAUUAAGAAACCACUCUUUGUAUGCCAAGAGGUCUAAAUGUUCAUUUGGGCAACCUAAGGUGGAAUACCUAGGUCAUAUUAUUAAUAGAGAUGGAGUAUCUACUGAUCCUGCUAAGAUCAAGGCUAUGUUGGAGUGGCCUACUCUUAAGUCCUUGAAGGCUCUUAGAGGAUUUUUAGGGCUGACAGGUUAUUACAAGAAAUAUGUGUAUGGUUAUGGUGCAAUUUGCAGACCUCUUACAGCCUUGCUAAAAAAAAGAUGCCUUUAAUUGGAAUGAAGAAACUGAUAUAGCAUUUAAAGCUCUUAAAACUGCUAUGUCCUUAACACCAGUAUAAGUACUGCCUGACUUUGCCAAGGAAUUUGUUGUGGAAACAGAUGCUAGUCAUUAUGGUAUUGGUGCUGUACUUAUGCAAGAAGGCAAACCAGUGGCAUACUUUAGUAAAGUGUUAGCUCCAAAGCACAGGGGUAAAUCUAUAUAUGAAAAAAAGUAUAUGGCCUUGUUGAAUGCAGUGGACAAAUGGAGGCACUACCUCCAGUUCAAACACUUUGUGAUCAGGAGUGAUCAUCAUAGUUUGAAGUAUUUGAUGGAAGGGGCUUCCUAAAUUGUUGGGACUUGAUUAUGAGAUCCAAUACAAGAAGGGUGCUGAGAAUAGCAACGGGUUGCUGAUGCCCUAUCCGGACAAGAAGAUCAAGGACAACUCUUGGUUAUGAGUGUGAUGAUUCCAACUUAGAUGCAAGAGGUCACUAAUAGCUAUUCUGAGGAUCCUCAGGUGCAAGAAAAAAUUGUGCAAGUCAUUGUAGAUUUGCAAGAUCCUAGUUUAUGGCAUUAUACUUCUGGUGUUCUGAGAAGAAAAGGGAAGGUUUACGUUGGAGCUACUGGAGGCUUAAGACACCAGUUAUUUACUACAUUCCAUCCUUCUCCAAUAGGGGGUCAUUCAGGGCUGCUAGACACCCUCAAGAGACUGUCUCAACUCUUUUAUUGGCCUAACAUGAAACAAAUGGUCAAUGAUUUUGUUGCAGGUUGUGAAAUGUGUCAAACAAGUAAAGAUGAUAAUGCAGCUUAUCCUGGACUUUUGCAGCCACUACCUAUUCCUAAUCAAGCCUGGAGCCAAAUUAGCAUGGACUUUAUUGAGGGACUUCCUAAAUCUAGAGGCAAAGAGGCGAUCCUAAUAGUAGUAGAUAAAUUGACCAAGUAUUCACACUUUAUUGCUUUAUCACACCCUUAUACUGCUGUCACAGUAGCUGAACAUUAUUGGAAUAGGAUACAUUGUCUACAUGGUGGUCCUGAUUCCAUUCCAUAGUGACUGAUAGGGAUAGAGUUUUUCUUAGCCAUUUUUGGCAAGCUCUCUUCAAACUCUUGGGCACACAACUAUACUACAGCACGACUUACCACCCCCAAAGUGAUGGUCAUAUUGAGAGAGUGAAUAAAUGUUUAGAGAAUUAUCUCAGGUGCAUGGUGUCUAGCAGACCUACUCUUUGGGAGCCUUGGCUUACUGCUGCUGAGUGGUGGUAUAAUACUAACUUCCACACUAGCCUGCGGUGCACUCCUUUUGAAGCUUUGUAUGGGUAUUCACCUCCACAUCUGUCCAUGGGACCACUAAUAGAGACUAAUGUUCCAGCGGCUGAGGAUAUUGUUUUGAAGAGACAACAAAUGUAUCAACUUCUUAAGGACAAUUUGAGCAAAGCACAAGAGAGGAUGAAGCAUUAUGCCAAUAAGAGGAGAUCAGAAAGGGGUUCCUGGUGGGAGACAUGGUCUACCUUAAUCUUCAACCUUACAGGUAAACCUCUAUAGCAUUGAGAAAAAAUUUGAAGCUUUCGUCUAAAUAUUAUGGUCCUUACAAGGUCAUUUCCAGAAUUGGAUCAGUGGCUUACAAACUUGAAUUACCUGCAGACUCUAAAGUACAUCCUGUGUUCCAUGUAUCCCUUCUAAAAAAGAAGGAAAGUUCCAAGGUGGUAGUGCAAUCGACUCUGCCUAUUACCGCGGAUGAUGGUCAAUUUUUAGUCCAACCUGUGGCUAUUUUACAAAGACCGAUGAUUAAAAAGAAUAAUGUGGCUGGGGUGAAGGUUUUGGUUCAAUGGUCAAAUUUGCCGCCGGAAGAUGCUACCUGGGAAGACUAUGACUUCCUUAAGGCUAAGUUUCCUAAUUUUGAUUCUCAUCCUUGAGGUCAAGGAUGUUUUGAAGGAGGAAGAAAUGUAAUGAUCCUACUUAGUAUAGCUUAGCAUAUUUUAAUUAAGCAAAUAAAGAAACGCGGGCAGUGGGGAUCGUAGUUGAAGCACAGAAGGAGUGACUAAUUCACUGACCUGGACGACUGAGAUUUAAUUGUUAUUAAUGAGGUGCAAGGGUGGAGAUCAUGCCACGUCGCCAGAAGUCGUUAUAUAAUGACUAAUGGAGAGAGAAAACACCAACCAUAAUCUGAUAAUUUUCUCUUCUUCCUCGCGCUCUCUUCUCUCUCUUCUCUUUCUUUCUUUUUCUCUCCUCUAAAUUUCUGAUCCUCCCCUUCUCUUCUCUGCAGAUUCAAGAACUUCCAUGGAUGCCCAUCUAUCCUAGUUAUCGUAGAUUAAUUCAGUUCUUAAUUUCCUUGUAAUUGAUAUCCAUUUUUCAUGUUUUUGAAGUAAACCGAAAAUUGUCCCAAAAAUUUUGAAUUGUUUUACUUUUAUUGUUGCUGAAUUUAGUCAGAUCCUGAUUGGGAUCCUGACAAGUAACUUCUUUUUCUCCAAAGUGUUCACCCUUUGGUCAUGUUGUCAAACUGGACCUUCAAUUUUAUAAGAGCUCUAAUAACAUCACUUAGGGAUAGUUCACCUCUAAAAGUUGAGGUUUAUUCUCCGCCGUUUGUUAUACCUACGAGACAAGCAAACAAACAGAUAAUAACAAACCCUCAUCAAUCACUCCCUUAGUGUAUAUACACCAAUUCUAUUCCAAUCAAUCACAUGUUUAUCACUCGAAGUUUUGGCAUUUGUUCACUCGUUCGAUCUCCACUCAAGCCUUUUUCCGCCCAAAUUCCCUCAUAAUUCAAGCCUAGGCUUCACAUCAAGUUUCUUUCAUCUGUGGGCUGGAGUUGAGUUGAUGCGCAAGCAAGCCUUGGUAAUUUAAAGCUAAUUUAAAGCUGAAUUGGUCUUGAAACAAUGGAGUCCUGUCUAAGAUGAAGGAUAGUAAAAAGCUUAAAGGAAAAUUAGAAUGAAAAAGAGUAAUUAACACUCAAGAACUAGUUAAAUACAAGUAGAAACAAGUUACGAAGUGUUAAUAACUUAUAAUAACCAAAAGAGAUGAAAAAGAAGUGACAAAUCACAUAUUUGAACUCAAAAAUUGUGUUGCGUGUUUUCUACUUACCAUGAUUGCAAACUCCGCUAGAAUUGUGGAAUGUCUUUCGUGACAACGGAGAACUAGUGCUUCAUGUCCAAAAAUGAAUUUCCAUUACAAUGGUCGAAUUGUGGGUGUCCAAAUUCAGAUACGGGUUUUCGCUAAGAAAAUUUUGUAGCAACGCUCUAGACCACCACCGUUGAACUUGGGCCUUCACAAUUCCAGUGUUGAAUGUUGCGCUCGAAAGUUUAACAAGUUUUCAACUUCAGGUCAUUGUAGUUAGCUGCUUAAUUUUUCAAAUUUCUUAACCCAAAUUUGAUUUGAAUAGACUUUGAUCAACUCUAAACAUUGAAUACAAGUUCUUACAAAUGCUCCUAAGCAAUUUUUACAACCACUACUCAAAUCCACACAUUAAAUCUCGAAUUCAAGUCAAACCAACUUUAAAGCUUUCAAUAAUGGUGGUCUUGCAAAUUUUUCACAAUACUAGCAACAAGCAAAUCGACAACUUACAUAAGCUAGUUGUUGUAUCAACACAAUCCACAAGCAAAUCUCCCACUCGAUGUUUUUCCUUCUUCUACGAGCCUAUGUAAUCCAUGUUCCAUGAAAUGCUAUGAGUUCUCUAUGAUCGAGAUGCGUAUCCUUCAUAACUAUCUAUUUCGUAGUUGUUUCUUCCAUUGCUAGGUGCUUAUCAUGCCUCCAUGUCAUGUUCAUAAAUAUUUAUGGGAAUGUCUGAUGUCAUGAUGUUAAAAAGGCAAUUGAGGUAAGCAUUACUUUCUAACUUCUUCCAUGAGCUUAUAUUAAGCAUCCAAAGCUUAUUUCGAGGUCAGGACUCAUGGGAUGGUGAUUGAAAAAUGUUAGUCCACAUUGUGACCAUUGCAUGUUACGUGGCACUGUUUUGACCAUUGUAUAUUAUUGUUGGCUAAGGGAAAGGAUGGAUAAGGAGAAACACCAUUGUUUGGGGAUUUUGAAGUUUAGUGUUCAUUGGAUGUUUGGUAGAUUGUCCAUAUGACUUGGGCUCGACAUUUAAGUGCUAACAUAGUGGUCAAAUGUAUCGCGAUAAUGAUGUGGUGUUAGGUGGUCUUUCUAUGCGUUUGUUCUCAGUGUUUUGUGCUCGUGAUACUUUUGUGCUGGAAAGUCAAUUGGGAGUCAUUCUCCGCUCUUGCAUCUGUAACGUUGUGAUUGCGAUGCCUUACAAGGUCCUAGUUUCUCGUGGCCAUGGCCAGAUCAUUAUGAUUGUUGUAAUCUACCAGGAACACAAAAUCUAACACAAUCUACUUGUGAUGACUAUUUUCCAAGGUUUCCCAAAUCAACUCCGAGCUCUAUUUCACAACUUUCCUUCCAUUUCAAUAAUGUGUAGCAUAAGAUGAAAUCCUCCAAAAGAUCAUUGAAUAAUUUCCACUUCAUAUAAAGUAGUUCAUCUACUUGUAGCCCUUUUGCUUGGCCAUGCAUGAAUGACCUAGAUCAUUGAAUAAUUUCCACUUCAUAUAAAGUAGUUCAACUACUUGUAGCCCUUUUUCUUGGCCAUACAUGAAUGACCUUAAAAGGUGUAGCUGGAGGUCCGAGGUCAUCACAUGGAAAGUUACUUAAUGCGCUUUGAACCAUCACUUGUAAAACCUAUCACAUCUUGCAUCUCAACAAGGGGGUUAUAUAGAUCAAAUCCUAAUAGAUGAUCAACAAUGGCUACAUAUUGGAUUUUGUAUUCUACGAUUUCACCUUUAGAGUUUAUGUUUGCUAAGGAUAAAGAAAUGGAUCUUGGGUCUAACUCAACCCGAAAAGUUAACUCGUGAGGGGAGGGCUUCCCAAGUCCCAAGUCCAUAUAAGGAGACCAAUUGCCCAACCAUUUUUCGAUGUGGGACUCUUAAAACUCCCCGCACGCCCAAACCUUGUUAACCGGAGCAACAACAAUAUAAUAUGGGGCCCAACAUCCGUGAUUAAAGAAUUAGGAAGUGGGAUGGGCGUGGUUUGAUGCCAUGUAACUGAAUUUUGAGCCUAACUCAACUUAAAAAACUAGCGCAUAAGGGGAGAAUUGUCCAAAAUCCAUAUGACGAGACCAAUUGCUCAUUCAUUUUUCAAUGUGGGACUCUUAACACUAAGCUUAUUGAAUGGCUUUCUUUCUUCACGUCAUGAUCCAACUCUAGCACGUAGGCUACAAGGCACUCGAUGAGCUACUACUCAUAAGGUAACCACACUAAGCUAAAGCAUGUGAUAAUUAAGUAUUAAAGAGUAAUAAGUCCGCCCAACUACCCCAAGUAUACAUGUCAUGGAGAUACUAAUAUCUGGAAUACAAGAUACUAGACACAACUAGAUAAUAAUGAAGUGCUAAGUCUACUAAGAGAAAGUGGCCUCCAUGAUCUAAUCGAGUUCACCUCGACUGGAAUCACUAAUCAAUGUGGGAGUGACUGAUUGGCUACCUGCUCCCCCUGCACACACCCAAACAAAAAUAAAUGUUAGUCUAAAAAUCCAGCAAGAUCAUUGAUCUUGCACUUUAAGCUUACUCCUGCAGCAAGUCUUUAGAAAUCGUUGGUAAUUCAUAAAGGCAUAAACAAACCAAUCCAUGUAUAAUGAUCUACAAGUAAAGUAGUUGAAAGUGAAUUCACCUAUACAAACUGCUAUUGAGCAUAGUUGCAUCACUGAUCCGUCCCAGACAAGGCAUCGGCCUCAUAUCUUUCCCAUCUUUGGAGUGUUAAGUGCAGCAGCCAUCCCGUUCUUAUCCUCCAUACCAACUAACUAGCCUCUUACCGGCAUUAUAAGCGCAUACUUAAUUAAGCGAUAAUAAAUACUAAAUAUCUAAUCAACUGUCACAACAUGACCAUAUCAGUAACACAAUAUAAAGACACAGCGACCCGCGUGGUCUAACUAGGUACUUCAAAAUCAAUCCGACCUAGCUCAUGCUUGGCCACUCAUACGAACCAGAUGGUUUACAUGCAUAUAAGAAUCACAUAUAACAUGUUAUUUGUGAAAAUCAAGCAAACUA
This 29819-nucleotide long non-coding RNA is filed under the name Capsicum annuum. RNAcentral describes it as "long non-coding RNA (CANN_LNC018652)". Lineage: Eukaryota; Viridiplantae; Streptophyta; Magnoliopsida; Solanales; Solanaceae. The record is from RNAcentral.